Molecule: ribosomal RNA, 362 nt
Filed under: uncultured bacterium
Lineage: Bacteria
Description: bacterial SSU rRNA
Rfam family: Bacterial small subunit ribosomal RNA
Source: RNAcentral
AGAGAAGGAGCUUGCUCCUUUGACGUUAGCGGCGGACGGGUGAGUAACACGUGGGCAACCUACCUUAUAGUUUGGGAUAACUCCGGGAAACCGGGGCUAAUACCGAAUAAUCUAUUUUACUUCAUGGUGAAAUACUGAAAGACGGUUUCGGCUGUCGCUAUAAGAUGGGCCCGCGGCGCAUUAGCUAGUUGGUGAGGUAACGGCUCACCAAGGCGACGAUGCGUAGCCGACCUGAGAGGGUGAUCGGCCACACUGGGACUGAGACACGGCCCAGACUCCUACGGGAGGCAGCAGUAGGGAAUCUUCCACAAUGGGCGAAAGCCUGAUGGAGCAACGCCGCGUGAGUGAAGAAGGUUUUCGGA